RNAcentral lists this ribosomal RNA (497 nucleotides) under uncultured bacterium. RNAcentral's name for it is "partial 16S ribosomal RNA". It matches the Rfam family "Bacterial small subunit ribosomal RNA", at positions 28 to 507 of the family's 1533-position model. The record is from RNAcentral.
GAUGAACGCUGGCGGCGUGCCUAAUACAUGCAAGUCGAGCGAACAGACGAGGAGCUUGCUCCUCUGACGUUAGCGGCUUACGGGUGAGUAACACGUGGAUAACCUACCUAUAAGACUGGGAUAACUUCGGGAAACCGGAGCUAAUACCGGAUAAUAUAUUGAACCGCAUGGUUCAAUAGUGAAAGACGGUUUUGCUGUCACUUAUAGAUGGAUUCGCGCCGCAUUAGCUAGUUGGUAAGGUAACGGCUUACCAAGGCGACGAUGCGUAGCCGACAUGAGAGGGUGAACGGCCACACUGGAACUGAGACGCGGUCCAGACUCCUACGGGAGGCAGCAGUAGGGAAUCUUACGCAAUGGGCGAAAGCCUGACGGAGCAACGCCGCGUGAGUGAUGAAGGUCUUCGGAUCGUAAAACUAUGUUAUUAGGGAAGAACAAAUGUGUAAGUAACUAUGCACGUCUUGACGGUACCUAAUCAGAAAGCCACGGCUAACUACGUG